AUCACGAAGUUUUCUCCUCCAUGUCCACAACAUGUCUUCCAUAUGCUUAGGCAACACCCAAUCCAAAUGUUGAGAAGUUAGAAUACCGUUCCACAACUACCAAACACCAUCACAAUGAAUGAACAAGUGGUUAAUCAUCUCCCCAUCCUUCUUACUCAUAUAAUACCACUCGGUAACAUAAAAAAAAUUUCUUCAAAAAUUAUCCACCAUUAAUGCCUCCCCUCACAACCGUCCACAAUAAAAAGCCACCAGUGGAGGUAAUUUACAUUGUCAAACCAUCUUCUAGGGGAAUGAACUUUUCAUAGGUCCCAAUAUGGAUCUAAAAUAAGUGCGAACUGAAAAAAUAUCAUCCCGUGCCAACCUCCAAUUGCUAUGAUCAUCUCUCCUACCCGAAUUGUGCACCUCAUGCAAGGAGGUCAAAAACAACACAUCAUCCAAUUCUCAAUUUUGUAAACCCCUCUCAAAAAAAUAUUCCAGCUAUAAUUUUCAUUGUGUAUGGCUAGUACAUCAUUCACCAUAUCAAAAGGCUCCAAAGCAGUGCAAUACAAAGAAGGAAACCAUACCUUUAGCAGUUGAUCUCCAAACCAACAAUCAUCCCAAAAUAUAAUAUUAUUACCAUUUCCCACCACAUAAGUCAAUUUAUCUUGAAAGUCACUCCAUCCUCAUCGGAUAUACCUCCACAAACUCACCUUAUAAGAUUCAAGACCAUCAACUGAGCACCAACCCCCUCCAUCAUACCAUACUUCGCUCAUAUGAUUUCUCUCCAAGAACUUUCCUUCUCCACACCAAAUCGCCACAGCCAGUUGCCCAAUAAAACCUUCUUAAACAGAAUAAGGCUCCUCAAUCUUAGGCCCCCAUCCUUAUAGGAGAACAUACCACACCUCAAUUAACCAAAUGAAAUUUUCUCUUUCCCCAACCCUACAUAAACAAACUCUCUUUGAAUCCUCUCUAAUUUAUUUGCCACUGUAACAGGAAUAAAAAACAAUAACAAAAAAUAAGGAGGGAGAUUGGAGAGAGUGUAUUUAAUAAGAGUAAGGCGGACUCUACUCGAAAGGUACAUACACUUUCAUCCCGCUAACCUCUUCU
This 1086-nucleotide long non-coding RNA is filed under the name Olea europaea subsp. europaea. The record is from RNAcentral. Lineage: Eukaryota; Viridiplantae; Streptophyta; Magnoliopsida; Lamiales; Oleaceae.